UCCCUCCGGAUUCCUUAGCCCUCAAACCUAAACCGAGGUCUGAGCGGCUUAAAGAAAAGAGGAGGAAAGUGAAACUGAAAUGGACUUGGAGUCUUGGGACAAUCAAGUUCACUUCAAACAAUU
This is a small nucleolar RNA of Echinops telfairi (small Madagascar hedgehog), 123 nucleotides long. The record is from Ensembl. Lineage: Eukaryota; Metazoa; Chordata; Mammalia; Afrosoricida; Tenrecidae.